This 520-nucleotide ribosomal RNA is filed under the name uncultured Glomus. RNAcentral's name for it is "SSU rRNA". It matches the Rfam family "Eukaryotic small subunit ribosomal RNA", at positions 569 to 1089 of the family's 1831-position model. Lineage: Eukaryota; Fungi; Glomeromycota; Glomeromycetes; Glomerales; Glomeraceae. The record is from RNAcentral.
AGCAGCCGCGGUAAUUCCAGCUCCAAUAGCGUAUAUUAAAGUUGUUGCAGUUAAAAGCUCGUAGUUGAAUUUCGGGAUCAGUUGAUCGGUCGUGCCUCGGUACGUACUGGUCAAAUUGAUUCCUACCUUCUGACGAACCACGAUGUCAUUAAUUUGGUGUCGUGGGAAAUCAGGACUGUUACUUUGAAAAAAUUAGAGUGUUUAAAGCAGGCUCGCGCUUGAAUACAUUAGCAUGGAAUAAUGAAAUAGGACGUUUGAUUCUAUUUUGUUGGUUUCUAGGAUCGACGUAAUGAUUAAUAGGGAUAGUUGGGGGCAUUAGUAUUCAAUUGUCAGAGGUGAAAUUCUUGGAUUUAUUGAAGACUAACUACUGCGAAAGCAUUUUGCCAAGGAUGUUUUCAUUAAUCAAGAACGAAAGUUAGGGGAUCGAAGACGAUCAGAUACCGUCGUAGUCUUAACCAUAAACUAUGCCGACUAGGGAUCGGAUGAUGUUAAUUUUUUUCAAUGACUCAUUCGGCGCCUU